UACAGAGGGGGCAAGCGUUGUUCGGAAUUACUGGGCGUAAAGCGUGCGUAGGCGGUUCCUCAAGUCCGUUGUGAAAGCCCCGGGCUCAACCUGGGAAUGGCAGUGGAAACUAGGGGACUGGAAUCUGGCAGAGGGGGGUGGAAUGCCGCGUGUAGCAGUGAAAUGCGUAGAGAUGCGGCGGAACACCGAUGGCGAAGGCAGCCCCCUGGGCUGAGAUUGACGCUCAGGCACGAAAGCGUGGGGAGCAAACAGG
Molecule: ribosomal RNA, 253 nt
Filed under: uncultured bacterium
Lineage: Bacteria
Description: partial 16S ribosomal RNA
Rfam family: Bacterial small subunit ribosomal RNA
Source: RNAcentral